RNAcentral lists this ribosomal RNA (439 nucleotides) under uncultured bacterium. RNAcentral describes it as "partial 16S ribosomal RNA". It matches the Rfam family "Bacterial small subunit ribosomal RNA", at positions 339 to 795 of the family's 1533-position model. The record is from RNAcentral.
CUACGGGAGGCUGCAGUGAGGAAUAUUGCACAAUGGGGGGAACCCUGAUGCAGCAACGCCGCGUGGAGGAUGACGCAUUUCGGUGUGUAAACUCCUUUUAUAUGUCAAGAAAAUGACGGUAGCAUAUGAAUAAGCACCGGCUAACUCCGUGCCAGCAGCCGCGGUAAUACGGAGGAUGCAAGCGUUACUCGGAAUCACUGGGCGUAAAGGACGCGUAGGCGGGUUGGAAAGUCAGGUGUGAAAUCCUACAGCUUAACUGUAGAACUGCACUUGAAACUUCUAAUCUAGAGUAUGGGAGGGGGAGAUGGAAUUAGUGGUGUAGGGGUAAAAUCCGUAGAUAUCACUAGGAAUACCUAAAGCGAAGGCGAUCUCCUGGAACAUUACUGACGCCAAGGCGUGAAAGCGUGGGGAGCAAACAGGAUUAGAUACCCCAGUAGUC